Molecule: unclassified non-coding RNA, 406 nt
Filed under: soil metagenome
Description: partial contains 5.8S ribosomal RNA, internal transcribed spacer 2, and large subunit ribosomal RNA
Rfam family: 5.8S ribosomal RNA (bases 1-121)
Source: RNAcentral
GAUGAAGAACGUAGCGAAAUGCGAUAAGUAAUGUGAAUUGCAGAAUUCAGUGAAUCAUCGAAUCUUUGAACGCACCUUGCGCCCUUUGGCCAUUCCGAAGGGCAUGCCUGUUUGAGUAUCAUGAACACCUCAACUCUUCAUGGUUUUCCAUGAUGAGCUUGGACUUUGGGGGUCUUGCUGGCCUGUGGGUCGGCUCCUCUCAAAUGAAUCAGCUUGCCGGUUUUUGGUGGGCAUCACAGGUGUGAUAACUAUCUACGCUUGUGGUUUUCCACCAGGGUAACCUUCAGCAGUGGAGGUUCACUGGAGCUUACAAAUGUCUCUCCUCUGUGAGGACAGCCCUUUGAAUGUUUGAUCUCAAAUCAGGUAGGGAUACCCGCUGAACUUAAGUAUAUCAAUAAGCGGAGGA